CAAUAGCGUAUAUUAAAGUUGUUGCGGUUAAAAAGCUCGUAGUUGGAUUUCUGUCGAAGACGGUCGGUCCGCUCUAUGAGCGUGUAUCUGAUUCGGCUUUGGCAUCCUCGUGGGGAACGUAACUGUGCUUGAUUGCAUGGUGCGGAAUUCACGACUUUUACUUUGAGGAAAUUAGAGUGUUCACGGCAGGCAAGCGCCUUGAAUACAUUAGCAUGGAAUAAUAAUAUAGGACUUGUGUUCUAUUUUGUUGGUUUCUAGGACAUAAGUAAAUGAUUAAUAGGGAUAAAUUGGGGGCGAUUGUAUUAACGACGUCAGAGGUGGAAGUUCUUGGAUUGCGUUACGACAAACUAACUAGCGAAGACAUUGUCCAAGGAUGUUUUCUAUUGAUCAAGAAACGAAAGUAAUGGGGAGUCAAAGAAUGAUUAGAUACCGU
This 433-nucleotide ribosomal RNA is filed under the name uncultured eukaryote. Its description in RNAcentral is "SSU rRNA". It matches the Rfam family "Eukaryotic small subunit ribosomal RNA", at positions 592 to 1018 of the family's 1831-position model. The record is from RNAcentral.